ACAACCCAAAUUCCCAUCUACAGAAAACUGGAUGGACAAAUUGUGAUGUAUUCGAACAUGGGGUAUCAUGGGAGCCGAAACAGAUGAACUCCAACGCACGACAGCACAGGUGAUCUUCAGGAAAUAAUAAACUGAAUGUCCACGUCCAUCGGACGCUCCUUCCCCGUCCCCUUCCCCAGCCUCUGACAGCCACCAUCCACCGUCCUUCUCCGCGGAUCUGCCUCCUCUAGGAGCCUCCUGAAUCAAGUGCGGUGAGGUAUUCGAAGGAUGCUCUUUGGAUGAAGUCUUCUCUGCAGGUCUUUCCCCCCUUCUCUGCAUGCAGUGGCGGUGGGGGGAG
Molecule: long non-coding RNA, 337 nt
Organism: Ailuropoda melanoleuca (giant panda)
Lineage: Eukaryota; Metazoa; Chordata; Mammalia; Carnivora; Ursidae
Exons: 3
Source: RefSeq, a predicted model, not a curated record